GACGAACGCUGGCGGCGUGCUUUAGGCAUGCAAGUCGAACGCGAAAGCCCCUUCGGGGGUGAGUAGAGUGGCGAACGGGUGAGUAACACGUGGGUAACCUGCCCCUCGCAGGGGGAUAACCGGGGGAAACCCCGGCUAAUACCCCGUACGCUUGCUGGGGCGCAUGCUCCGGCAAGGAAAGGUAGCUUCGGCCAUCCGGCGAGGGAGGGGCCCGCGGCCCAUUAGCUAGUUGGUGGGGUAACGGCCCACCAAGGCGACGAUGGGUAGCUGGCCUGAGAGGGUGGUCAGCCACACUGGGACUGAGACACGGCCCAAACUCCUACGGGAGGCAGCAGCCAGGAAUCUUGCGCAAUGGGCGAAAGCCUGACGCAGCAACGCCGCGUGGGCGAUGAAGGCCUUCGGGUCGUAAAGCCCUGUUGUCGGGGACGAAGGGCGAAGGGUUAAUAGCCCCUAGCCUGACGGUACCCGACGAGGAAGCCCCGGCUAACUACGUG
RNAcentral lists this ribosomal RNA (494 nucleotides) under uncultured bacterium. Its description in RNAcentral is "partial 16S ribosomal RNA". It matches the Rfam family "Bacterial small subunit ribosomal RNA", at positions 28 to 507 of the family's 1533-position model. The record is from RNAcentral.